RNAcentral lists this ribosomal RNA (254 nucleotides) under uncultured bacterium. Its description in RNAcentral is "partial 16S ribosomal RNA". It matches the Rfam family "Bacterial small subunit ribosomal RNA", at positions 524 to 778 of the family's 1533-position model. The record is from RNAcentral.
UACAGAGGGGGCAAGCGUUGUUCGGAAUACUGGGCGUAAAGCGUGCGCAGGCGGCUUCUCAAGUCAGGGGUGAAGCCCAGAGCUCAACUCUGGAACUGCCUUUGAGACUGAGAGGCUUGAGUACGGGAGAGGUGAGUGGAAUUCCCAGUGUAGAGGUGAAAUUCGUAGAUAUUGGGAAGAACACCGGUGGCGAAGGCGGCUCACUGGCCCGUAACUGACGCUCAUGCACGACAGCGUGGGGAGUCAAACAGGAU